This 522-nucleotide long non-coding RNA is filed under the name Populus tremula. RNAcentral describes it as "long non-coding RNA (PTRE_LNC001782)". Lineage: Eukaryota; Viridiplantae; Streptophyta; Magnoliopsida; Malpighiales; Salicaceae. The record is from RNAcentral.
GUAGUCAUAGGGCAGCUAAGCUUUCAGGCAAGGGAGGUAUAGGAUGAGAUAGAGAAAGUCUUUCCAGUCCUACAGCUUGAGCAGUAAGUAGUCUUUACUAAUUUAUACGCGUCAGCGAUCAAAGGUCAGCAUAGUUGGGCAAGCAUGAGGAGAUCCAGUUUAGUCCGAACAGUACUAUUAUCCCGAGUCAAGUAGUAGCCUCAUGGAGGAAAUGAAUAUUGAGUGGAUGAGAUAAGAUGUUUAUUGAGGAGUAGGCUUAACCCUGCGGAGGAGAAAGACCAGUGAGGAGCACCUUUAGAACCGUUAUAUGCCCGGCAAGUCCCAGGAAAGCCUAAGUUGGGUAGGUCAUUCCGGUAUGGGACAAGCGAAGCGAUCGGCCGGUUGGUGAGUCUGUCCAUUUUGUGGAGUGAGGAAAGUCAGUUGAUUCCGUUCCUGAGGUUCUUUCUUCGCAAGAGUCAAUGCUAAUAACGCAAGAUUGGAUUAAAUACCUGAAUGCCAGGCAAGCUCGUCAAUCCCGAUGCU